This 490-nucleotide ribosomal RNA is filed under the name Streptococcus mutans. RNAcentral's name for it is "bacterial SSU rRNA". It matches the Rfam family "Bacterial small subunit ribosomal RNA", at positions 28 to 495 of the family's 1533-position model. The record is from RNAcentral. Lineage: Bacteria; Bacillati; Bacillota; Bacilli; Lactobacillales; Streptococcaceae.
GACGAACGCUGGCGGCGUGCCUAAUACAUGCAAGUGGGACGCAAGGGAACACACUGUGCUUGCACACCGUGUUUUCUGAGUCGCGAACGGGUGAGUAACGCGUAGGUAACCUGCCUAUUAGCGGGGGAUAACUAUUGGAAACGAUAGCUAAUACCGCAUAAUAUUAAUUAUUGCAUGAUAAUUGAUUGAAAGAUGCAAGCGCAUCACUAGUAGAUGGACCUGCGUUGUAUUAGCUAGUUGGUAAGGUAAGAGCUUACCAAGGCGACGAUACAUAGCCGACCUGAGAGGGUGAUCGGCCACACUGGGACUGAGACACGGCCCAGACUCCUACGGGAGGCAGCAGUAGGGAAUCUUCGGCAAUGGACGAAAGUCUGACCGAGCAACGCCGCGUGAGUGAAGAAGGUUUUCGGAUCGUAAAGCUCUGUUGUAAGUCAAGAACGUGUGUGAGAGUGGAAAGUUCACACAGUGACGGAGCUACCAAAAGGCGCAU